RNAcentral lists this ribosomal RNA (254 nucleotides) under uncultured bacterium. Its description in RNAcentral is "partial 16S ribosomal RNA". It matches the Rfam family "Bacterial small subunit ribosomal RNA", at positions 526 to 779 of the family's 1533-position model. The record is from RNAcentral.
CGUAGGGCGCGAGCGUUGUCCGGAAUUAUUGGGCGUAAAGAGCUUGUAGGCGGUUUGUCGCGUCUGCUGUGAAAGGCCGGAGCUUAACUCCGUGUAUUGCAGUGGGUACGGGCAGACUAGAGUGCAGUAGGGGAGACUGGAAUUCCUGGUGUAGCGGUGGAAUGCGCAGAUAUCAGGAGGAACACCGAUGGCGAAGGCAGGUCUCUGGGCUGUAACUGACGCUGAGAAGCGAAAGCAUGGGAGCGAACAGGAUU